CGUCAGCGACCCCACCGCCUGCCCGCUCCCCGGCCACGCGACCAACCCGAUCGCCGCCGGUUCCGGCGAUGU
This 72-nucleotide small RNA is filed under the name Pseudomonas sp. NFIX28. Its description in RNAcentral is "Pseudomonas sRNA P10". It matches the Rfam family "Pseudomonas sRNA P10". Lineage: Bacteria; Pseudomonadati; Pseudomonadota; Gammaproteobacteria; Pseudomonadales; Pseudomonadaceae. The record is from RNAcentral.